RNAcentral lists this non-coding RNA (46 nucleotides) under Schistosoma haematobium. Lineage: Eukaryota; Metazoa; Platyhelminthes; Trematoda; Strigeidida; Schistosomatidae. The record is from RNAcentral.
GCACUGCUGAGGAGUCUCAUACUGGGACGAAACAGCCGUCCAGUAC